GGACAGCCUCUUCACAUCAUUAUCAACAGAGAAGAGAGAACGCACAGGAAGCGAGAAGCACUCACACCACAGCAGAGCAGUGAAUUGUUCCCCGCUACACCACAGGAGUACAGGAAAUCGAAAUUGCCAGGUGUACGGACACUGUAGUUUCAGAACAAAAUCAGCAACAGCAAACAUGUUUAAGUCAUCGACAGCCAUGAUACCGACGUGCAGGUGAAAGAGAGGAAAAGUCACAGUCAACUGGACAUUUAAUAAUCUGAUCCAAAAAAAAAGUAUAUUAAUAAGAGGCGAGUGGCUUUAAACAAUUUGCAUUACAAUUUACAUUUGGUACUGGGGUAAAAACCAUAGAAAGGAUUCUUAGAGCGGUUUAGGCAGCGCGUGAACUUCGUGUGGAAACAAUGUCCAGAAAAAAGACGGUAAAGGGCAAAAGUAGCACCAGUAGCCCAACGACGGCUUCGACAAACAGCAAAAGCGAUGGCAAAGCCGGAAAGGGCAUCGUCGGUAGCGAGGUCCAGUCUAACGGAGUGGUCCACCCAAGCCGACCAUCUCUCAGCAACAGCAGCGAGUUUUACGAUAUGGCUUUUAAGGUGAUGCUGGUCGGGGACUCCGGAGUGGGAAAGACCUGCCUGCUGGUGCGCUUCAAAGACGGAGCCUUCCUGGCCGGGAGCUUCAUCUCCACCGUGGGGAUCGACUUCAGAAAUAAAGUGUUGAACAUUGAUGGGAUGAAGGUCAAGCUCCAGAUCUGGGACACGGCCGGACAGGAGCGAUUCCGCAGCGUCACACACGCCUACUACCGGGACGCCCACGCUCUCCUGCUCCUGUACGACGUCACCAACAAAACAUCCUUCGACAACAUCCAGGCCUGGCUGACAGAGAUCCACGAGUACGCCCAGCAGGAUGUGGUGCUGAUGCUGCUUGGCAACAAGGCCGACGCCUCGCAGGAGAGGGUGGUGAAGCGGGAGGAGGGCGAGAGGCUGGCCAAGGAUUUCGGGGUGCCGUUCAUGGAGACCAGCGCCAAAUCGGGCCUCAACGUGGAGCUGGCGUUCACCGCCGUCGCCAAAGAGCUGAAGCACAGGUCCAUGAAAGAGCCCAGCGAUCCCAAGUUUAAGCUGCAGGACUACGUCAACAAGGAAAUGAAGAGCUCUGGAUGCUGCAGGUCCUAAACCUGUGCCAGAACGCCAGAAGAGGCUGCGUGUGUGUGUGUGUGUGUGUGUGUGUGUGUGUGUGUCUGUGUGUGUGCGUGUGUGUGUGUGUGUUUGCACGCGUGCAUACUGUAUGCUCAUGUAUGUGUUUGUGUGAAUGUAUGCGUGUUCGUCUGUCCGAGUACAGAAGUGUGUGUGGAUGUGUUAGUCUGGCAACCUGCCACAGUGCAGGUGUUUGUCUGUGUGUGUGUGUGUGUGUGUGUGUGUGUGUCAGUCUGUCUGGGUGCAGUUGUGUGUGUGAGAGAGAGAUAGCGAGAGAGAUCCUAGCAUUUCAGUCUCUGUUACGGAUGGUCACAUUAUUUCAGAGGAGAGGUGUGAGUGUGACAUCAGCCAUCUGUCACCGUCCUGCACGGACCGGAUCACACAGUGACCAUGCCGACCAUCACUCACUUUCCUCUGAGCCCAAUGACUGUGAUUUCUUCCCCCGCCUCCCGUCCCUGUCCCCGCCCCCCGUCCUGUCCCUGUCCCCACCCCGCCCCAGCUCUGCUCUGCCCACCUCCCUCUACAGCUGUGAAUGUAUCCCAGGAUGACAGGCCUUUAAAAACCCACCCCUACACUCACGGUGUCACCCUCUGUCAAACACUCUCUCACCCCCUAGGGUCAAAUACCUCAGAUUGCAUGACCCCCAGAAUUACAGUAAAUACCCCAGGCUCUGUUUCGCCUACAGUUAAUUACCCCAGACUGUGUUCCUUCCCUACGGUUAAAUGCUCGAAACUAUGUUUCCCCCACAGUAUAAAAGACCUGACUGUGUUACCUCCACAGUUAGCAUCAUUCCCAUAUUUAAAUACCCCUGUCUGUGUUACCCCAAGGAUAAAUUCAGCAUACUGUGUCACCUCGAGUUAAAUUACCCCAGAUUGUGUUACCCCUGUAGCUAUAUACCCCAGGCUGUGUUACCCUGUGGUUAAAUAUACCAUGCUGCCGUACUGCCCCAGUGUGAGCUGUGCUUUCUUGUGCCGUUGUUAGACUCACAGCUUUGUAAAAGAGAUGGGUGUGCUUGCAGUGACGGCCCAUCGCAGUCACCAUCGCCAUGGCAUCGGCUGUCACUCAGAACCCACACCAUCGCAAAUACUGUGCGCUGUAUGUAAGGCUGUGUAACUGUACUCCCAUUAGCAUCGGUGAAACUCACCAUCAUUUCUUACAUGGGGUCUGUCUCUGUGACCCACGGGGGGGGUGUUCCACAGACCCCGGCCCCCUCCUGGUGGAAGACUAAGGAUAGGACACAGUUCUCCUGCUUUUUCAGGGCCCAUUACUCCAUUGUAAUUUUGUUUUUCCUCAAGUUGGAAUUAACAAAAUCUAAAAGGGGGACUGAGAUAACAGGAGCUACUUGGUAGGACUAUUUCGAAAGCCAGCGAGCCAACACAAAUUUCAGGCCAAUAUCAUAUCAGACCAGGGGUUGGGGAGCGACCUCACUACCAUUCAGCAAUACGGUGACUGUAGAACCGAGGGCCCGUUUGCUCAUUUCGACAGAAGGGCACGGGUUCGAAUCCCGCCGGGGGCAGUGUUUGUCGUAGCCUUUUGCGUGCUUCUUAGCCUGCACUGUUCCAGUACAUAGUUUCAUACAUGUUUCAGUACAAGCAGUAUAUAGCAGUGCCGUGUGAAACGUUAUGUACAGUAAUGUCCAGUGGUCCUCUUAGCGUGUAAGAGCAAGGUGAAUAGGUUCAUUCGUAUUUGAUCCCGGGCCUACUCUGGCAACAGCACACCCUGCGGCGACUCCCAAAAUGGGACAAGCUUUGCACCAUUUGCUGUCACUGGCACCGCUUUGAACCAAUCGUAGUGGUUUUUCUUUUGAGAGCCAAGUCUCAUUGGUUCAUCCCAGCCUGUGAAUGACAGCACAUGGCAGCCCUACCCUUUUGGGCAUUUACAAUAACACUCUGUCCAAUCAUUGGUUAGUCCCUUGUCCAACAGGAGUCCCAUUAAGGGUGGAUGUGGGGGGGGUGAGGCACCAUUACCUUGGUAAUGGCUGGAGCCACAUUCUGCCAAUCACCACCCAUCACCUCAGAACCAAUUUUUUUUUUUAAACUGCUCGCCAAGGCAAAAUACAUUGGGUUCACAUCUGUAAGCCAUUUGACAGCACGCGAUGGCUCCACCCAUUUUAAGGUUCAUGAAGCCUCACUCUCCCACUAUUCCCGCCCGUUACUGAGAUCCGCUGGUUUGAACCCAUGCCAGUUCGGGCCGUGAAGCCCCCCUAAAACAAAGAGCACGCCGGUUUACCACAGCGACAGGAGCGGGUCACUGUGGCGUUACCUGUGACGUUCUGGCAGACAGUCGCCUUCCUUUCAAAACAGAAAUGACAUCAAGGAAAACGUGUACACACAAUACCAUUAUUUUGUACAGAGUGUAUAAAUAUCUGUAGCUUAAUCGUUUGCAUUACUUGUUCCGCAAGUGGUUAUUUUUUUAAAGCCUUAGAAAUGAAAAUGCUUUAGUGAUGUAGAAAUAUAGAUGUUACCACACUGCAGGUAAGGGGUACCCUGGAAACUGCAGGAAGGGGGGCCCUGGAAACUGCAGGAAGGGGGACGGACCAAGCGAAAACCGUGUCACUGAAAAAAAUUAAAAACCUUGGUACUCUGUCAUUUUGUAUCAGUGUUGUACAGCAACUUGAAAUACGAAAAAUAAUUAAUAAAAGGGACACGUUUAAUUUUUAUUUUUUGCAAUAUUUCAGAGGCUACAGUAUUUUGUCGUUGAGUCUAAGAAAUGUGGACCGCUGCUUUAUUUAUAAAAUGUAUGAAUAUGCUGCAUAUACUGUGUAAAGAUCUUUGCAUUUGCCAUCCCACAGUAAUACAGCAAAAUCAUCUUUUUAGGAUCUGUCUUACCAGAUUAUCUCUUACUUUGAGAAGAUUCUGAUUUUUUUAGAUGGUUGCUACAGUGUAAUAACAGUGUUUGAUGUGAUUGCCUAAUGUAUUUGACUGUAUUUUCAACCCAAGAUUCGUAAUUUAUUAUUACUAAAAUUACUAUCAAUACCACAUUAAAUAGAAAUGUACAGAAUUUACAAUAUGUCUAGUCUAAAAGGUCAGUGUAUUGUGGCCAUCUUGGAAAUGUACCUUUUUUUGCAGAAAUUUUCAGUGUGCUUGUACCUUAAACCUAAUUAAAAACCCGAAUUUAAUAAAGAUUACGAGCAACAGGCUCUGAGCGUU
RNA transcript from Anguilla rostrata (American eel), 4333 nucleotides. It is a transcript of the gene named ras-related protein Rab-26-like, with no coding region annotated. The transcript has 10 exons. The record is from RefSeq and is a predicted model, not a curated record. NCBI's taxonomy places the organism in Eukaryota, Metazoa, Chordata, Actinopteri, Anguilliformes, Anguillidae.